This 481-nucleotide ribosomal RNA is filed under the name uncultured bacterium. RNAcentral's name for it is "partial 16S ribosomal RNA". It matches the Rfam family "Bacterial small subunit ribosomal RNA", at positions 30 to 507 of the family's 1533-position model. The record is from RNAcentral.
UUGAACGCUGGCGGCAUGCCUUACACAUGCAAGUCGAACGGUAACAGGUCUUCGGAUGCUGACGAGUGGCGAACGGGUGAGUAAUACAUCGGAACGUGCCCGAUCGUGGGGGAUAACGAGGCGAAAGCUUUGCUAAUACCGCAUACGAUCUACGGAUGAAAGCGGGGGAUCUUCGGACCUCGCGCGGACGGAGCGGCCGAUGGCAGAUUAGGUAGUUGGUGGGAUAAAAGCUUACCAAGCCGACGAUCUGUAGCUGGUCUGAGAGGAUGAUCAGCCACACUGGGACUGAGACACGGCCCAGACUCCUACGGGAGGCAGCAGUGGGGAAUUUUGGACAAUAGGCGAAAGCCUGAUCCAGCCAUGCCGCGUGCAGGAUGAAGGCCUUCGGGUUGUAAACUGCUUUUGUACGGAACGAAAAGCCUCUUUCUAAUAAAGAGGGGUCAUGACGGUACCGUAAGAAUAAGCACCGGCUAACUACGUG